UCGGGAAUUUUGGGCAAUGGGCGAAAGCCUGACCCAGCAACGCCGCGUGAAGGAUGAAGUAUUUCGGUAUGUAAACUUCGAAAGAAUAGGAAGAAUAAAUGACGGUACUAUUUAUAAGGUCCGGCUAACUACGUGCCAGCAGCCGCGGUAAUACGUAGGGACCAAGCGUUGUUCGGAUUUACUGGGCGUAAAGGGCGCGUAGGCGGCGUGGUAAGUCACUUGUGAAAUCUCCGAGCUUAACUCGGAACGGUCAAGUGAUACUGCUGUGCUAGAGUACAGAAGGGGCAAUCGGAAUUCUUGGUGUAGCGGUGAAAUGCGUAGAUAUCAAGAGGAACACCUGAGGUGAAGACGGGUUGCUGGGCUGAUACUGACGCUGAGGCGCGAAAGCUAGGGUAGCAAACGGGAUUAGAUACCCAAGUAGUCCCUGAGCGGGCUGGCAAGGCGCAU
This 447-nucleotide ribosomal RNA is filed under the name uncultured bacterium. RNAcentral's name for it is "bacterial SSU rRNA". It matches the Rfam family "Bacterial small subunit ribosomal RNA", at positions 355 to 825 of the family's 1533-position model. The record is from RNAcentral.